GACGAACGCUGGCGGCGUGCUUAACACAUGCAAGUCGAACGGAAAGGCCCCUUUGGGGGUCCUCGAGUGGCGAACGGGUGAGUAACACGUGAGUAACCUGCCCUUGACUUCGGGAUAACUUCAGGAAACUGGGGCUAAUACCGGAUAGGAAUCCUUGCUGCAUGGUGGGGGUUGGAAAGCUUCGGCGGUUUUGGAUGGACUCGCGGCUUAUCAGCUUGUUGGUGGGGUAGUGGCUUACCAAGGCUGUGACGGGUAGCCGGCCUGAGAGGGCGACCGGCCACAUGGGGACUGAGAUACGGCCCAGACUCCUACGGGAGGCAGCAGUGGGGAAUAUUGCACAAUGGGCGGAAGCCUGAUGCAGCAACGCCGCGUGCGGGAUGACGGCCUUCGGGUUGUAAACCGCUUUCAGCAGGGGCGAAGCUUGUGGUGACGGUACCUGCAGAAGAAGCACCGGCUAACUACGU
This 464-nucleotide ribosomal RNA is filed under the name uncultured bacterium. Its description in RNAcentral is "partial 16S ribosomal RNA". It matches the Rfam family "Bacterial small subunit ribosomal RNA", at positions 28 to 506 of the family's 1533-position model. The record is from RNAcentral.